UGCUUAACACAUGCAAGUCGAACGAUGAAGCCCUUCGGGGUGGAUUAGUGGCGAACGGGUGAGUAACACGUGGGCAAUCUGCCCUUCACUCUGGGACAAGCCCUGGAAACGGGGUCUAAUACCGGAUAACACUCUUCCCUGCAUGGGGAGGGGUUAAAAGCUCCGGCGGUGAAGGAUGAGCCCGCGGCCUAUCAGCUUGUUGGUGGGGUAAUGGCCUACCAAGGCGACGACGGGUAGCCGGCCUGAGAGGGCGACCGGCCACACUGGGACUGAGACACGGCCCAGACUCCUACGGGAGGCAGCAGUGGGGAAUAUUGCACAAUGGGCGAAAGCCUGAUGCAGCGACGCCGCGUGAGGGAUGACGGCCUUCGGGUUGUAAACCUCUUUCAGCAGGGAAGAAGCGACUGGGUUUUCUC
This 416-nucleotide ribosomal RNA is filed under the name Streptomyces atroolivaceus. RNAcentral describes it as "bacterial SSU rRNA". It matches the Rfam family "Bacterial small subunit ribosomal RNA", at positions 45 to 465 of the family's 1533-position model. Lineage: Bacteria; Bacillati; Actinomycetota; Actinomycetes; Kitasatosporales; Streptomycetaceae. The record is from RNAcentral.